Molecule: long non-coding RNA, 1351 nt
Filed under: Homo sapiens (human)
Lineage: Eukaryota; Metazoa; Chordata; Mammalia; Primates; Hominidae
Description: HSALNT0005457
Source: RNAcentral
CUGGGACAAAAGGAGGCCCUGGAGACCAGGUGAGGCGAUCCCAAGCUGGGGACAGAAUUGAGCAAGGAAGUCUGGGGCCAGGAAGACAGCAAGGCCCAGGCCUCAGCCAAGUCUCAGAGGCUCAGCCAGAACAUAAGCCCCUUGGGCCUAACCACCUCCCUCCUGCCACCUCCCACCCAUCAUGCACUCCUCAGCCUGCCUCAGUGCAGAUAGGAUGGCAUGGCUUAAAAUCCAGAGGAGAAACAAACAGGAAAAUCAGGAGCCAAGAGGAUUGAACCAAGAAUACCCUCUCCCCCGUCCCAGCUCAUCUGGUUCCAGGCUCUGUUUAGGCUUCGUUGGGUUUCCCUGAGGCCAAGGGCCUGACUGGGCCACCCAGACUGACCUGAGAACUGUUUUCCUGCAGGGUGAGCCGGGCCCGCAGGGCCUUCCUGGAUUCUCUGGUCCCCCUGGGAAAGAGGGAGAGCCAGGGCCUCGAGGAGAAAUUGGUCCCCAGGGCAUCAUGGGACAGAAGGUAAGUGCCUGGCACAAUGGCCCCUCCCCGGGGGCCUCUGCGGCAGCUGGCACUGCUGGAUACAGCAUCUGCUCCGUGCAGCCCGUGAGAUGCCUCCCCAGGCAGGGCCUAGGUUUGCUUUGCUGGUCUGCCAAGUGGAGAAAGGACCCCCUGCCAGUGACAGCAGGAAUGGAGGGCACCCUGACCAUGCGGUGCCAGGCCUCGGUGCGGGAGGCUACCCCUGCUGAGAGCUGCUGAGGUUGUGACCUUCUCUUUCCAUUUCAGGGUGACCAAGGCGAGAGGGGUCCAGUGGGGCAACCAGGCCCUCAGGGAAGGCAGGGCCCUAAGGGGGAGCAGGGCCCCCCCGGAAUUCCAGGGCCCCAAGGCUUGCCAGGCGUCAAAGGAGACAAGGGCUCCCCAGGGAAGACCGGGCCCCGCGGCAAAGUGGGUGACCCAGGGGUGGCCGGCCUCCCCGGAGAGAAAGGCGAGAAGGGCGAGUCCGGCGAGCCGGGGCCCAAGGGACAGCAAGGAGUACGUGGAGAACCCGGCUACCCUGGCCCCAGCGGGGAUGCGGGCGCCCCAGGGGUUCAGGGCUACCCUGGUCCCCCCGGCCCUCGAGGACUGGCCGGGAACCGAGGCGUGCCAGGACAGCCCGGGAGACAGGGCGUGGAGAGCAACUGGCAGAGGUCGCCGUGAGUGCCAAGCGGGAAGCCCUGGGUGCGGUGGGCAUGAUGGGUCCUCCAGGACCUCCUGGGCCCCCUGGGUACCCAGGCAAGCAGGGCCCCCAUGGGCACCCUGGCCCUCGGGGCGUUCCUGGCAUCGUGGGAGCCGUGGGUCAGAUCGGCAACACGGGGCCCAAGG